This 253-nucleotide ribosomal RNA is filed under the name uncultured bacterium. RNAcentral describes it as "partial 16S ribosomal RNA". It matches the Rfam family "Bacterial small subunit ribosomal RNA", at positions 524 to 776 of the family's 1533-position model. The record is from RNAcentral.
UAUGUAGGGUGCAAGCGUUAUCCGGAAUUAUUGGGCGUAAAGAGCUCGUAGGCGGUUUGUCGCGUCUGCUGUGAAAACCCGAGGCUCAACCUCGGGCCUGCAGUGGGUACGGGCAAACUAGAGUGCGGUAGGGGAGAUUGGAAUUCCUGGUGUAGCGGUGGAAUGCGCAGAUAUCAGGAGGAACACCGAUGGCGAAGGCAGAUCUCUGGGCCGUAACUGACGCUGAGGAGCGAAAGCAUGGGGAGCGAACAGG